RNAcentral lists this unclassified non-coding RNA (348 nucleotides) under soil metagenome. RNAcentral describes it as "partial contains 5.8S ribosomal RNA, internal transcribed spacer 2, and large subunit ribosomal RNA". The stretch from base 1 to 120 matches the Rfam family "5.8S ribosomal RNA", at positions 35 to 154 of the family's 154-position model. The record is from RNAcentral.
GAUGAAGAACGUAGUGAAAUGCGAUAAGUAAUGUGAAUUGCAGAAUUCAGUGAAUCAUCGAGUCUUUGAACGCACAUUGCGCCCCCUGGUAUUCCGGGGGGCAUGCCUGUCCGAGCGUCAUUGCUGCCCUCAAGCACGGCUUGUGUGUUGGGCCCCCGCCCCCCGGCUUCGGGGGGCGGGCCCGAAAGGCAGCGGCGGCACCGCGUCCGGUCCUCGAGCGUAUUGGGCUUCGUCACCCGCUCUGUAGGCCCGGCCGGCGCCCGCCGGCGACCCCAAUCAAUCUUUCCAGGUUGACCUCGGAUCAGGUAGGGAUACCCGCUGAACUUAAGCAUAUCAAUAAGCGGAGGA